AACGCGAAGAACCUUACCAAGCCUUGACAUCUGGCUGGCCGGUGAGUAAUGUCACCUUUCCUACGGGACAGCCAAGACAGGUGGUGCAUGGUUGUCGUCAGCUCGUGUCGUGAGAUGUUGGGUUAAGUCCCGCAACGAGCGCAACCCUUAUCCUUAGUAGCCAGCAUGUAAUGGUGGGCACUCUAGGGAGACUGCCAGGGACAACCUGGAGGAAGGUGGGGAUGACGUCAAAUCAUCAUGCCCCUUAUGGCUUGGGCUACACACGUGCUACAAUGGCGUAAACAAAGGGAAGCGAAGGGGUGACCUGGAGCAAAUCCCAAAAAUAACGUCCCAGUUCGGAUUGUAGUCUGCAACCCGACUACAUGAAGCCGGAAUCGCUAGUAAUCGCGGAUCAGCAUGCCGCGGUGAAUACGUUCCCGGGUCUUGUACACACCG
Molecule: ribosomal RNA, 435 nt
Filed under: uncultured bacterium
Lineage: Bacteria
Description: bacterial SSU rRNA
Rfam family: Bacterial small subunit ribosomal RNA
Source: RNAcentral